RNAcentral lists this ribosomal RNA (472 nucleotides) under uncultured bacterium. RNAcentral's name for it is "bacterial SSU rRNA". It matches the Rfam family "Bacterial small subunit ribosomal RNA", at positions 355 to 825 of the family's 1533-position model. The record is from RNAcentral.
UGGGGAAUUUUGGACAAUGGGGGCAACCCUGAUCCAGCAAUGCCGCGUGAGUGAAGAAGGCCUUCGGGUUGUAAAGCUCUUUUGGCGGGGACGAAACGGUCCGUGACAACACCACGGACUAAUGACAGUACUCGCAGAAGAAGCACCGGCUAACUACGUGCCAGCAGCCGCGGUAAUACGUAGGGUGCAGGCGUUAAUCGGAAUUACUGGGCGUAAAGCGUGCGCAGGUGGCUCCUUAAGUCAGAUGUGAAAUCCCCGGGCUUAACCUGGGAACUGCGUCUGAUACUGGAAGGCUUGAGUAUGGGAGAGGGAUGUAGAAUUCCAGGUGUAGCGGUGAAAUGCGUAGAUAUCUGGAGGAAUACCGGUGGCGAAGGCGGCAUCCUGGACCAUUACUGACGCUGAGGCGCGAAAGCUAGGGGAGCAAACGGGAUUAGAUACCCCAGUAGUCCCUGAGCGGGCUGGCAAGGCGCAU